This 357-nucleotide ribosomal RNA is filed under the name uncultured cyanobacterium. Its description in RNAcentral is "bacterial SSU rRNA". It matches the Rfam family "Bacterial small subunit ribosomal RNA", at positions 366 to 738 of the family's 1533-position model. Lineage: Bacteria; Bacillati; Cyanobacteriota. The record is from RNAcentral.
CCGCAAUGGGCGCAAGCCUGACGGAGCAAGACCGCGUGCGGGAGGACGGCCUAUUGGUUGUAAACCGCUUUUGAUAGGGAAGAAGUUCUGACGGUACCUAUCGAAUCAGCAUCGGCUAACUCCGUGCCAGCAGCCGCGGUAAUACGGAGGAUGCAAGCGUUAUCCGGAAUUAUUGGGCGUAAAGCGUCCGUAGGUGGUUGUUCAAGUCUGCUGUUAAAGCGUGCGGCUUAACCGCAUACCAGCAGUGGAAACUGGGCGACUAGAGUGCGGUAGGGGUCAGGGGAAUUCCCAGUGUAGCGGUGAAAUGCGUAGAUAUUGGGAAGAACACCGGUGGCGAAAGCGCCUGACUGGACCUGC